AGUGAACGCUGGCGGUAGGCCUAACACAUGCAAGUCGAACGGCAGCACAGUAAGAGCUUGCUCUUACGGGUGGCGAGUGGCGGACGGGUGAGGAAUGCAUCGGAAUCUACUUUUUCGUGGGGGAUAACGUAGGGAAACUUACGCUACUACCGCAUACGACCUACGGGUGAAAGCAGGGGAUCUUCGGACCUUGCGCGAUUGAAUGAGCCGAUGUCGGAUUAGCUAGUUGGCGGGGUAAAGGCCCACCAAGGCGACGAUCCGUAGCUGGUCUGAGAGGAUGAUCAGCCACACUGGAACUGAGACACGGUCCAGACUCCUACGGGAGGCAGCAGUGGGGAAUAUUGGACAAUGGGCGCAAGCCUGAUCCAGCCAUACCGCGUGGGUGAAGAAGGCCUUCGGGUUGUAAAGCCCUUUUGUUGGGAAAGAAAAGCAGCAGGUUAAUACCCCGCUGUUCUGACGGUACCCAAAGAAUAAGCACCGGCUAACUUCGUG
This 492-nucleotide ribosomal RNA is filed under the name uncultured bacterium. RNAcentral describes it as "partial 16S ribosomal RNA". It matches the Rfam family "Bacterial small subunit ribosomal RNA", at positions 29 to 507 of the family's 1533-position model. The record is from RNAcentral.